Molecule: ribosomal RNA, 253 nt
Filed under: uncultured bacterium
Lineage: Bacteria
Description: partial 16S ribosomal RNA
Rfam family: Bacterial small subunit ribosomal RNA
Source: RNAcentral
AACGUAGGAGGCAAGCGUUAUCCGGAGUUACUGGGCGUAAAGCGUAUGUAGGCGGUUGGGCAAGUGGCGUGUGAAAGCUCCCGGCUAAACUGGGAGACGACAGGUCAGACUGCCGAACUCGAGUCCGAUAGAGGGGCGUAGAAUUCCGGGUGUAGCGGUGAAAUGUGUAGAGAUCCGGAGGAACACCAGAGGCGCAAGCGGCGCCCUGGGUCCCAACUGACGCUGAAACACGAAAGCUUGGGGAGCGAACGGG